CGGAUUCAGACUAGCCAUGCACGUCUAAGUACAAACUAAAUGAUGGUGAAACUGCAAAUGGCUCAUUACAACGGUUAUGAUGUACCCGGGAGUUCCGAUGGAUAUUUCCAGUAACACUAGAACUAAUACAUGUCCCUGCGUUUAUUAGUUUCGCACAGUCCGUCGCUGAGUCAUGGUAAACAGUUGAUCGACUCGACGUCCCGGAACAGUUUCCGCCCCAUCAGCUUCGAUGGUUGGGUAUUGGCCUACCAUUGCAACAACGGGUAACGAGGAAUUAGGGUUUGAUUUCGGAGAGGGAGCCUGAGAAACGGCUACCACAUCUACGGAUGGCAGCAGGCGCGCAAAUUACCCAAUGCAGACACUGUGAGGUAGUGACGAGAAAUAAUAAAGCGGGACUUCUGUUUCGCUAUUAUAAUGAGGAAUAACCAAAGGUCAUUCCGAUUAGCAACUGAUGGGAAAGUCUGGUGCCAGCAGCCGCGGUAAUACCAGCGUCAGUAGCA
This 500-nucleotide ribosomal RNA is filed under the name uncultured Myrionecta. RNAcentral describes it as "SSU rRNA". It matches the Rfam family "Eukaryotic small subunit ribosomal RNA", at positions 40 to 598 of the family's 1831-position model. The record is from RNAcentral. Lineage: Eukaryota; Ciliophora; Litostomatea; Cyclotrichida; Mesodiniidae.